GGCUCAGAUUGAACGCUAGCGGGAUGCCUUACACAUGCAAGUCGAACGGCAGCACGGACUUCGGUCUGGUGGCGAGUGGCGAACGGGUGAGUAAUGUAUCGGAACGUGCCUAGUAGCGGGGGAUAACUACGCGAAAGCGUAGCUAAUACCGCAUACGCCCUACGGGGGAAAGCAGGGGAUCGCAAGACCUUGCACUAUUAGAGCGGCCGAUAUCGGAUUAGCUAGUUGGUGGGGUAACGGCUCACCAAGGCGACGAUCCGUAGCUGGUUUGAGAGGACGACCAGCCACACUGGGACUGAGACACGGCCCAGACUCCUACGGGAGGCAGCAGUGGGGAAUUUUGGACAAUGGGGGAAACCCUGAUCCAGCCAUCCCGCGUGUGCGAUGAAGGCCUUCGGGUUGUAAAGCACUUUUGGCAGGAAAGAAACGUCAUGGGUUAAUACCCCGUGAAACUGACGGUACCUGCAGAAUAAGCACCGGCUAACUACGUGCCAGCAGCCGCGGUAAUACGUAGGGUGCAAGCGUUAAUCGGAAUUACUGGGCGUAAAGCGUGCGCAGGCGGUUCGGAAAGAAAGAUGUGAAAUCCCAGAGCUUAACUUUGGAACUGCAUUUUUAACUACCGAGCUAGAGUGUGUCAGAGGGAGGUGGAAAUUCCGCGUGUAGCAGUGAAAUGCGUAGAUAUGCGGAGGAACACCCGAUGGCGAAGGCAGCCUCC
Molecule: ribosomal RNA, 715 nt
Filed under: Achromobacter sp. 110602_136_C_F7
Lineage: Bacteria; Pseudomonadati; Pseudomonadota; Betaproteobacteria; Burkholderiales; Alcaligenaceae
Description: bacterial SSU rRNA
Rfam family: Bacterial small subunit ribosomal RNA
Source: RNAcentral